UAAGGAAUAUUGGACAAUGGAGGCAACUCUGAUCCAGCCAUGCCGCGUGAAGGAAUAAGGCCCUAUGGGUUGUAAACUUCUUUUAGACGAGACAAAACCCCUUUACGUGUAAAGGGUUGAUGGUACUGUCAGAAUAAGCAUCGGCUAACUUCGUGCCAGCAGCCGCGGUAAUACGAAGGAUGCAAGCGUUAUCCGGAAUUCUUGGGUUUAAAGGGUGCGUAGGCGGACUAAUAGGUCAGUGGUGAAAGCCUGCAGCUUAACUGCAUAAUGGCCAUUGNUACUGUUAGUCUUUAGUACAGUUGAGGUAGGCGGAAUGUGUCAUGUAGCGGUGAAAUGCUUAGAUAUGACACAGAACACCGAUUGCGAAGGCAGCUUGCUAAGCUGUAACUGACGCUGAGGCACGAAAGCGUGGGGAGCAAACA
RNAcentral lists this ribosomal RNA (422 nucleotides) under uncultured bacterium. Its description in RNAcentral is "bacterial SSU rRNA". It matches the Rfam family "Bacterial small subunit ribosomal RNA", at positions 355 to 774 of the family's 1533-position model. The record is from RNAcentral.